CUUCUUCGGGGAUGGGUGCAAUUCCCUACCGGCGGUUCAGCCCGCGAACCGAUCCCUCCCGGGAUCGGCCGAUCCGGUUUCAUUCCGGAGCCGACAGUCACAGUCUGGAUGAGAGAAGAG
RNAcentral lists this non-coding RNA (120 nucleotides) under bovine gut metagenome. RNAcentral's name for it is "FMN riboswitch (RFN element)". It matches the Rfam family "FMN riboswitch aptamer (RFN element)". Rfam says of the family: The RFN element is a highly conserved domain that is found frequently in the 5'-untranslated regions of prokaryotic mRNAs that encode for flavin mononucleotide (FMN) biosynthesis and transport proteins. This element is a metabolite-dependent riboswitch that directly binds FMN in the absence of proteins. In Bacillus subtilis, the riboswitch most likely controls gene expression by causing premature transcription termination within the 5' untranslated region of the ribDEAHT operon and precluding access to the ribosome-binding site of ypaA mRNA. The record is from RNAcentral.